Molecule: transfer RNA, 143 nt
Filed under: Rhizobium sp. BK275
Lineage: Bacteria; Pseudomonadati; Pseudomonadota; Alphaproteobacteria; Hyphomicrobiales; Rhizobiaceae
Description: tRNA-Gln
Source: RNAcentral
GGCGAAGACCGGCAGCGGACGCAGGCCUUGCGCCUGCAGAGCCUCGAUCAAGGCUUCGACGGGGCGGGUUUCGCCGCUUUGGACGAGUGCGCGGUAGAAGGCGAUCGCGACUGCCGGGGGUUCAAAUCCCUCCUCCGCUACCA